GGCUCUGUCACCCUGGGCUGCCAGGACACAAGUCUUUCCAUGCUUUUCCCAGUGCUUGACUUGGCACUCCCUGCAGGCAGGCCCUGACCCGGAACUGUGGCCCAUGGGCAGAGAUAGUCCCUCACCUUGUGGAAGAACACUGUCUCCAAGAGGUUGAUGAUGGAGGCCUCGUGGUGCACCUGUCAGAUAAAGAGAAGGACAGGGCCUGAGGAAGGGAUAGGGGCUACCAGCUCUCCUCCCCGGUCCAGAGCCCUCUGAAGGAGUGAGAAGAGCUCCUGAAUGGGCUCGCCCUGGCUGACUGUGGCAUCGAGGAUGGCUUGCAUGUUCAGCUUCUCCAGGUUCUCAUGCUGCUGGUUCCACCUGCCUCAGAGGGUAAGUGCAUGUGCGUCCACGUGUGUGCAUUAGGAGUGGGGAUGGGGGCUGGAUCCUACUGAAGCCUAACCUGAUCCUGAGGGGACACAGGGGGCUCAGGAGCAGUAAUACUCCUGUCUCGGAACGCUCUGCUCCCCCAUUUGGGAGCCCCUCCACACUGGGCAGCCCCUCCCCCGAGUCAGGCCCCAGCUCCCCGACUCAAGGACAAUGACUCCGGGACUCCGCCUGACCCGGGUGCCUCACCCUUCGGAGCCCAUCUCGCGUAGCGGGAAGCUGCGCAGACCCCGCACCAGCACUUCAGCUUCCCCGG
RNAcentral lists this long non-coding RNA (682 nucleotides) under Homo sapiens (human). RNAcentral's name for it is "HSALNT0054473". Lineage: Eukaryota; Metazoa; Chordata; Mammalia; Primates; Hominidae. The record is from RNAcentral.